This 142-nucleotide small nucleolar RNA is filed under the name Sphenodon punctatus (tuatara). RNAcentral's name for it is "Small nucleolar RNA ACA59 (ENSSPUG00000012527.1)". The record is from RNAcentral. Lineage: Eukaryota; Metazoa; Chordata; Lepidosauria; Sphenodontia; Sphenodontidae.
GCCCAAGGUAGCAUCUUUGUGCAGUAGCAUCCACGAGUCCUACUUUUCUUAGCUAUGAUGAACUUGCUGGGUGACCUUGGGCAAGUUGCUGUCUUACAGCCUCUGUUCCCCAUCUGUAAAAUGGGAAUAGUAAUGACCUGCC